This 3409-nucleotide long non-coding RNA is filed under the name Mytilus galloprovincialis (Mediterranean mussel). Lineage: Eukaryota; Metazoa; Mollusca; Bivalvia; Mytilida; Mytilidae. The record is from RNAcentral.
ACAACAUUAGACAUACACAAAGGUCUUAACAGAAAACAUACCUGAAAAUCCUCAAUCUGCGUCGCGCCCUGCUAAAAAAAAAAAAAAGGCCACAUGACCUAAAGGAAUUUCCAAUCUGCGUCAAGACCUGCUAGAAAAAAAGAAAAGGCGAAAUUAGACAUACACAAAGGUCUUAACAGAAAACAUACCUGAAAAUCCUCAAUCUGCAUCGCGCCCUGCUAGAAAAAAAGAAAAGUCGACAUUAGACAUACACAAAGGCCUUAACAGAAAACAUACCUUGAAUCUCCAAUCUGCGUCGCGCCCUGCUAGAAAAAAAGAAAAGACAACAUUAGACAUACACAAAGGUCUUAACAGAAAACAUACCUGGAAUCCUCAAUCUGCGUCGCGCCCUGCUAGAAAAAAAAGAAAAGGCGCAAUUAGACAUACACAAAGGUCUUAACAGAAAACAUACCUGGGAAUCCUCAAUCUGCGUCGCGCCCUGCUAGAAAAAAAGAAAAGACAACAUUAGACAUACACAAAGGUCUUAACAGAAAACAUACCUGAAAAUCCUCAAUCUGCGUCAUAAAAAAAAGAAAGGCCACACGACCUAAAGGAAAAAAAAAGAAACAUUAGACAUACACAAAGGUCUUAACAGAAAACAUACCUGGAAUCCUCAAUCUGCGUCGCACCCUGCUAGAAAAAAAGAAAAGACAACAUUAGACAUACACAAAGGUCUUAACAGAAAACAUACCUGGAAUUCCUCAAUCUGCGUCGCGACCUGCUAGAAAAAAAGAAAAGGCAACAUUAGACAUACACAAAGGUCUUAACAGAAAACAUACCUGCGAAUCCUCAAUCUGCGUCGCGCCCUGCUAGAAAAAAAGAAAAGGCGAAAUUAGACAUACACAAAGGUCUUAACAGAAAACAUACCUGGAAUCCUCAAUCUGCGUCGCCCCUGCUAGAAAAAAAGAAAAGGCGAAAUUAGACAUACACAAAGGUCUUAACAGAAAACAUACCUGGAAUUCCUCAAUCUGCGUCGCGCCCUGCUAGAAAAAAAGAAAAGGCGACAUUAGACAUACACAAAGGUCUUAACAGAAAACAUACCUGCGAAUCUUCAAUCUGCGUCGCGCUCUGCUGGGAAAAAAAAGAAAAGACAACAUUAGACAUACACAAAGGUCUUAACAGAAAACAUACCUGGAAAUCCUCAAUCUGCGUCGCGCCCUGCUAAAAAAAAAAAAAGGCCACACGACCUAAAGGCAAUCUGCGUCAAGACCUGCUAGAAAAAAAGAAAAGGCGACAUUAGACAUACACAAAGGUCUUAACAGAAAACAUACCUGGAAUUCCUCAAUCUGCGUCGCGACCUGCUAGAAAAAAAGAAAAGGCGACAUUAGACAUACACAAAGGUCUUAACAGAAAACAUACCUGGAAUUCCUCAAUCUGCGUCGCGCCCUGCUAGAAAAAAAGAAAAGGCAACAUUAGACAUACACAAAGGUCUUAACAGAAAACAUACCUGAAAAUCCUCAAUCUGCGUCGCGCCCUGCUAGAAAAAAAGAAAAGGCAACAUUAGACAUACACAAAGGUCUUAACAGAAAACAUACCUUCGAAUCUUCAAUCUGCGUCGCGUCCUGCUGGAAAAAAAAAGAAAAGGUGACAUUAGACAUACUCAAAGGCCUUAACAGAAAACAUACCUGGAAUCCUCAAUCUGCGUCGCGCCCUGCUAGAAAAAAAGAAAAGGACAACAUUAGACAUACACAAAGGUCUUAACAGAAAACAUACCUGAAAAUCCUCAAUCUGCGUCGCGCCCUGCAAAAAAAAAAGUCCACACGACCUAAAGGAAAAAAAAAGGAACCAUUAGACAUACACAAAGGUCUUAACAGAAAACAUACCUAAAUCCUCAAUCUGUGUCGCGCCCUGCUAGAAAAAAAGAAAAGGCAACAUUAGACAUACACAAAGGUCUUAACAGAAAACAUACCUGAAAAUCCUCAAUCUGCGUCACGCCCUGCUAGAAAAAAAGAAAAGGCGAAAUUAGACAUACACAAAGGUCUUAACAGAAAACAUACCUGGAAUUCCUCAAUCUGCGUCGCGCCCUGCUAGAAAAAAAGAAAAGGCAACAUUAGACAUACACAAAGGUCUUAACAGAAAACAUACCUGAAUUCCUCAAUCUGCGUCGCGCCCUGCUAGAAAAAAAGAAAAGGCGACAUUAGACAUACACACAAAGGUCUUAACAGAAAACAUACCUGAAUUCCUCAAUCUGCGUCGCGCCCUGCUAGAAAAAAAGAAAAGGCGACAUUAGACAUACACAAAGGCCUUAACAGAAAACAUACCUGCGAAUCUUCAAUCUGCGUCGCGCCCUGCUGGAAAAAAAAAGAAAAGGUGACAUUAGACAUACUCAAAGGCCUUAACAGAAAACAUACCUGAAAAUCCUCAAUCUGCGUCGCGCCCUGCUAAAAAAAAAAAAAAGGCCACACGACCUAAAGGAAUUUCCAAUCUGCGUCAAGACCUGCUAGAAAAAAAGAAAAGCAACAUUAGACAUACACAAAGGUCUUAACAGAAAACAUACCUGGAAUUCCUCAAUCUGCGUCGCGACCUGCUAGAAAAAAAGAAAAGGCGACAUUAGACAUACACAAAGGUCUUAACAGAAAACAUACCUGGAAUCUCUCAAUCUGCGUCGCGCCCUGCUAGAAAAAAAAGAAAAAGACAACAUUAGACAUACACAAAGGUCUUAACAGAAAACAUACCUGGAAUUCCUCAAUCUGCGUCGCGACCUGCUAGAAAAAAAAGAAAAGGCGACAUUAGACAUACACAAAGGUCUUAACAGAAAACAUACCUGGGAAUCCUCAAUCUGCGUCGCGCCCUGCUAGAAAAAAAGAAAAGGCGAAAUUAGACAUACACAAAGGUCUUAACGGAAAACAUACCUGGGAAUCCUCAAUCUGCGUCGCACCCUGCUAGAAAAAAAGAAAAGGCGAAAUUAGACAUACACAAAGGUCUUAACAGAAAACAUACCUGAAAAUCCUCAAUCUGCGUCGCCCCCUGCUAGAAAAAAAGAAAAGGCGACAUUAGACAUACACAAAGGUCUUAACAGAAAACAUACCUGAAUUCCUCAAUCUGCGUCGCGCCCUGCUGAGAAAAAAAAGAAAAGGUGACAUUAGACAUACUCAAAGGCCUUAACAGAAAACAUACCUGCGAAUCUGCAAUCUGCGUCGCGCCCUGCUAGAAAAAAAGAAAAGACAACAUUAGACAUACACAAAGGUCUUAACAGAAAACAUACCUGAAAAUCCUUAAUCUGCGUCGGGCCCUGCAAAAAAAAAGAAAGCCACACGACCUAAAGGAAAAAAAUUAGACAUACACAAAGGUCUUAACAGAAAACAUACCUGGAAUACCUCAAUCUGCGUCGACCCUGCUAGAAAAAAAGAAAAGACAACAUUAGACAUAC